UACGUAGGGUGCAAGCGUUAAUCGGAAUUACUGGGCGUAAAGCGUGCGCAGGCGGUUUUGUAAGUUUGUCGUGAAAGCCCCGGGCUCAACCUGGGAAUGGCAAUGGAUACUGGCAGGCUAGAGUGCGGUAGAGGGUAGUGGAAUUCCCGGUGUAGCGGUGAAAUGCGUAGAGACCCGGAGGAACACCGGUGGCGAAGGCGGCUUCCUGGUCUGCAACUGACGCUGUGGCGCGAAAGCUAGGGGAGCAAACGGG
RNAcentral lists this ribosomal RNA (253 nucleotides) under uncultured bacterium. Its description in RNAcentral is "partial 16S ribosomal RNA". It matches the Rfam family "Bacterial small subunit ribosomal RNA", at positions 524 to 776 of the family's 1533-position model. The record is from RNAcentral.